This is a long non-coding RNA of Stylophora pistillata, 1283 nucleotides long. The record is from RefSeq and is a predicted model, not a curated record. NCBI's taxonomy places the organism in Eukaryota, Metazoa, Cnidaria, Anthozoa, Scleractinia, Pocilloporidae.
AGAGAGGCGAGUUGUAAAACUAACGCUGAAGAGAAGGAGAAUUUGAUACACGAAGCCUUAUCACUAGAUGGCUUUGCCUGCCACUUCCUGACUGACAGCUUCUCGAGUGGACACAUUCGGACACCCAGAGUUGCCUUGGCUAAGAGAAUUAUCCCACGCAAUCUUGGUCAUUACUUGAGCAAGCAUAUGCACGAUGAAGAUGGUAAAAUGGGCCUCCAUGUGACAAAUAAAAGAGGCGAUAAGUGGAUAGUAUUCGGCGAUGGACUGCUUCUGAAUGAAGACAAAAAAGACAACCUAAAGUUUGUGAUCGAGGCCGUUAGAAAAUCAGUCGACCAAGUGUUUGAGGCUUACAAUUAUCCAUCUAAAGAUCUCAACACCGCUGUAAUCACUGACAUCAUCCCAAGUCUUGAGCAAGAAGGUAAAAAUCAUGCCCCUUUGUUCCAGGUUAAGGAUGGGAAACUGUACACGAGGUCCAUAUUAAGUUUUCUUAAGCAGAAGCUCGCGACUAGGAGAAGACGGAGUGCUGUAACAUUAGUCUAGAUGCGAAGUUUAACAUUAUGAAGAGGAAAGAAAUUAGUAGUAAUCAAAAAAGGAACUUCAUUAGAAGAAAAUAGGCGGGUUUGAGUUUCCUCAGCCCUGUUUUGACUUUUUUCCAACGGAAGAAGUAAAAAUGUGUUUGAUAAAGGUAUUUUAUAAAUACGAAGUAAUUUCCUUUGUUGAAAAAUUUACUACUCUGUAGGGAUAUAAAAAAUAUUCCAUGACUGAAGCCAAUUCGCGUGUUUGCCUGCUGUUUAUAUAUUGUAUUUCUUCAAAAUAUCAUUGUAAUGAUUUUUAUAGCAUUUCUUGAUGACUUGAGCUUUGAGGGUUUAAAUGUUUGAAGAAUAUCAUGAUAGUUAAAGACUGCAUGUGGCUACUGGUAAAGCACAAAUUUUAUAGUAUUAAAAAGAACUAGAGGUUGUCUAACAACGUUAGAAGAGAUUUUUGUAAAAUAUUUGUCUCACGUGCAAAAAAGGAAACCUACUGCAUCCCACAUGUUAAUGAUUACCCUAAUCUACAAAAGAUGAUUCAAGAAUAUAAUGACAUUCUAAUAGUCUAACUGACAUUCUACCCAUAAUUAAAUGGUUACAGCUAAUAACUUGCUCGCAAAUUUAGCGGCUCUUUUGGCUUAAGUCGCUGAUUCAAAAAGUGCUCUCUUUUCAAAUAAUAUCUAUUGAGAUACUUCUGCAGGGAAAAGUUUUGAUAUGAAUUAAACGACGGUGGAUGCCACCGUGAAAUUAUUUUGA